GAUGAAGAACGCAGCGAAAUGCGAUACGUAAUGUGAAUUGCAGAAUUCAGUGAAUCAUCGAAUCUUUGAACGCACAUUGCGCCCCUUGGUAUCCCGAGGGGCAUGCCUGUUCGAGCGUCAUUUCACCACUCAAGCCUGGCUUGGUGUUGGGCGACGUCCCCUUUAGGGACGCGCCUCGAAACGCUCGGCGGCGUGGCACCGGCUUUAAGCGUAGCAGAAUCUUUCGCUUUGGAAGUCGGGGCCCCGCCUGCCGGAAUACCUACUCGUAAGGUUGACCUCGGAUCAGGCAGGGAUACCCGCUGAACUUAAGCAUAUCAAUAAGCGGAGGA
This 329-nucleotide unclassified non-coding RNA is filed under the name soil metagenome. Its description in RNAcentral is "partial contains 5.8S ribosomal RNA, internal transcribed spacer 2, and large subunit ribosomal RNA". The stretch from base 1 to 120 matches the Rfam family "5.8S ribosomal RNA", at positions 35 to 154 of the family's 154-position model. The record is from RNAcentral.